UCGAAAAUGAGUAUCAUAGGGG
RNAcentral lists this non-coding RNA (22 nucleotides) under Arabidopsis thaliana (thale cress). The record is from RNAcentral. Lineage: Eukaryota; Viridiplantae; Streptophyta; Magnoliopsida; Brassicales; Brassicaceae.